CAGCAUGUAUGUGCCAUACACACACACACACACACACACACACACACAAACACACACACACAUACACAUCAUUCGCCCCUUAGGAGCAGUAUAUUUUUAUCAUUCUCUUUCUCCUUCAAGCCACAUGAAGAGCUAUUGCUUGUGUAGUUCAGUAAGGAGUCAAAUAAGUUAAGACAUAGAAAAUGAAACCCAGGGAGAAAAAGAUCAAAAGGGAUUGAAAAGCUUAAUUCUGAAGAACAGAGACUGAAAGAUUCUCCAUAGCAAUUUAUAAACAUGACAGCUUACACAGAGGUUGGUGACCAAUGGCUACCAAUCUCCUAUCAUUGAAAAUCUUCUCAUCUUUGGUGCAAGAAUGCAGAUCUAGCUUCAUGAGGUCGACUUAAAAAAUAGGCACACCCGAAAAGUUGAGAGUUAAGUUUUAUUGCAGGAGAAAUGAGGACUCUGAAAAACCACUCCAAAGAGGUCGGGGGGGGGGUCAUAUGUAUGUGAUUUUGGUAAAGAGGGAAGGUACAUGCAACCAGGCACACUUUUUGCAGAAGUUUGCUGCUAGUCCUGUGAAAGUUACUGCUAGUCACGAGGAGCAGGUGUCACCAUGAGGGAUCUUAGUGUUUUUCUAGAUACAAGGAGAUGCAAGAAUUGGGCUCGUCAACUCUUCUCCUGAAAAUAUCUAAUUAUCUGAAGACCAGUUCUGCCAGCUUUCCCAGAGCCCAGAGCGUCUCACUCCUGGUCUCCACCCUGAGCUCCUUUCAGGGGAGGCAGAGAGCGAGUGCCAAUCCCCAGUUCACAACACUGAACACAACAAGAAUGGAUUUAAACCUCAUGAUGAGAAUUCCUGGUUCGUUAUAACUAAAACUUCCGGGGAAUAAGACAGCUGUUGGAUACCAGCAUGGUUUAUACCAAAUGAAGGCUUGAAAAGGGAAACUCUCUUUCUCUGAGGUCCAUUUCAGCACUCUUCUUGCUCCCAGUCACUGCCUGCUACCCCUGGAUAUAUGCACUCUUUCCCUUUUUCCCAUGCACUCUUUCCCUUUUCUUCUGUUUUUAAGCUCUAACUUAUUUCAAGGAAUAAUUCAAAUACCACUAUGUUGAUUUUCACCUUCAAUGAACCCCUGCAACAGAGCAGAACUUUGGAGUUUAUAGACAUACCAUCAGUAUUUUCAACUGUUGUAGGGGAUUCCAAUUUUUACUACUUCCCUUGGGCAUUAGAAUCACGAUGUACAGGAGGAAAUCACUGACUAGUGUGGGAAUUUAGUUUGCCGUUGUGCAUCUACAGCUUAAUGAGCUUGUGUUGUUUUUUAUCUAUGUUCGUCAUGUAGUAACUUCUGACCAUGAAAUGUAGAAUCGUCAAGCUUCUCAGCUUAUAUAUCUAGCAAAUCCCAAUAAUCUGCACUACCUAAAGUCUGUAUAUAGAAUGUAACUAGGGGUCCAGAAAGGGUCUAACUUGAAUAUAUCUCCCCCAGGAAGUCUGCAAGAUCACGUCAUACGUCCUGUUCCUCAAUUUACAUAUAAAAUCAUUUCAGCAAGUAGGAAAUGAAUUUAAACUUCAUUUUCACAGUUCCUGGUAAAUUAUAGGAAAUAUCUAGGGGGAAAAAAAUGUUUGGGAGAAUUUAGGUUCAGUAUACAAUGGUCGAGUCCAAUAAUUUUACACAAGUUACAUUGAACUUGCCCUUGUACUUAAGUAUCGCAGAAAACAGCCAGUGAGAAUGAGUUCCACCUUAAACCAUGGAGAAAUGGCAGGGAACAUGUGCUGUUAGUGCAGGGAAAGUGGGAUCAUACCAUAGAAGUUUCCUUGGUCCAACUCUAUGAAAAUUUAGCCCAAAUCCUUUGGACAUGAUCUCUAACAUAUUAAAGUAAAAAUAUUGUUCAGAGGCCAAGCAAGCUGUACAUUUCUACACUGAACCUUGAAAAAGCCCAAUAUCACUGAUUAAAACCAUUGCAUGAGCAGAUAAAUGCAUGAGAAACCAAGUAUAGGUAUUUACCAGACUGUAUUAACUGAG
RNAcentral lists this long non-coding RNA (1994 nucleotides) under Sus scrofa (pig). RNAcentral describes it as "lncRNA (ENSSSCG00040042940.1)". The record is from RNAcentral. Lineage: Eukaryota; Metazoa; Chordata; Mammalia; Artiodactyla; Suidae.